GACGAACGCUGGCGGCGUGCUUAACACAUGCAAGUCGAACGGAAAGGCCCUGCUUUUGUGGGGUGCUCGAGUGGCGAACGGGUGAGUAACACGUGAGUAACCUGCCCUUGACUUUGGGAUAACUUCAGGAAACUGGGGCUAAUACCGGAUAGGAGCUCCUGCUGCAUGGUGGGGGUUGGAAAGUUUCGGCGGUUGGGGAUGGACUCGCGGCUUAUCAGCUUGUUGGUGGGGUAGUGGCUUACCAAGGCUUUGACGGGUAGCCGGCCUGAGAGGGUGACCGGCCACAUGGGGCUUGGGAAGCGGCCCGGGCCCCAACGGGGGGAAGGGGGGGGGAAUUUUGCAAAAGGGGCGGAGGCCUGAGGGAAGAACGCCGGGUGGGGGAGGACGGCCUGCGGGGUGGAACCCUUUUUCGCCUGUAACGAGGCGGAGGGAAGGGAAAUGGGGAAAAAAGACCGGCUAACUUCGUG
RNAcentral lists this ribosomal RNA (467 nucleotides) under uncultured bacterium. RNAcentral's name for it is "partial 16S ribosomal RNA". It matches the Rfam family "Bacterial small subunit ribosomal RNA", at positions 28 to 507 of the family's 1533-position model. The record is from RNAcentral.